CGAGAGAACGUUGCGUCAGCAACGGCCCGUAGGGCGAGCCACGAAGUGGUGAGUCAUCCUCUAUCACCGACCA
Molecule: small RNA, 73 nt
Filed under: Klebsiella pneumoniae
Lineage: Bacteria; Pseudomonadati; Pseudomonadota; Gammaproteobacteria; Enterobacterales; Enterobacteriaceae
Description: partial RtT sRNA
Rfam family: RtT RNA
About the family: This family represents a bacterial cis-regulatory element known as RtT RNA. The exact function of RtT is unknown although it is thought that it may be involved in changing the cellular response in relation to amino acid starvation.
Source: RNAcentral